GAUGAAGAACGUAGCGAAAUGCGAUAAGUAGUGUGAAUUGCAGAAUUCAGUGAAUCAUCGAAUCUUUGAACGCACAAUGCGCCCUUUGGUAUUCCAAAGGGCAUGCCUGUUCGAGCGUCAUUUGUACCCUCAAGCUUUGCUUGGUGUUGGGCGUCUUGUCUCUAGCUUUGCUGGAGACUCGCCUUAAAGUAAUUGGCAGCCGGCCUACUGGUUUCGGAGCGCAGCACAAGUCGCACUCUCUAUCAGCAAAGGUCUAGCAUCCAUUAAGCCUUUUUUUUCAACUUUUGACCUCGGAUCAGGUAGGGAUACCCGCUGAACUUAAGCAUAUCAAUAAGCGGAGGA
This 342-nucleotide unclassified non-coding RNA is filed under the name soil metagenome. RNAcentral describes it as "partial contains 5.8S ribosomal RNA, internal transcribed spacer 2, and large subunit ribosomal RNA". The stretch from base 1 to 120 matches the Rfam family "5.8S ribosomal RNA", at positions 35 to 154 of the family's 154-position model. The record is from RNAcentral.